Molecule: unclassified non-coding RNA, 1073 nt
Filed under: leaf metagenome
Description: partial contains internal transcribed spacer 1, 5.8S ribosomal RNA, internal transcribed spacer 2, and large subunit ribosomal RNA
Rfam family: Eukaryotic large subunit ribosomal RNA (bases 488-1073)
Source: RNAcentral
UGAGUUUACGCUCUACAACCCUUUGUGAACAUACCUAUAACUGUUGCUUCGGCGGGUAGGGUCUCCGUGACCCUCCCGGCCUCCCGCCCCCGGGCGGGUCGGCGCCCGCCGGAGGAUAACCAAACUCUGAUUUAACGUACGUUUCUUCUGAGUGGUACAAGCAAAUAAUCAAAACUUUUAACAACGGAUCUCUUGGUUCUGGCAUCGAUGAAGAACGCAGCGAAAUGCGAUAAGUAAUGUGAAUUGCAGAAUUCAGUGAAUCAUCGAAUCUUUGAACGCACAUUGCGCCCGCCAGCAUUCUGGCGGGCAUGCCUGUUCGAGCGUCAUUUCAACCCUCAAGCUCUGCUUGGUGUUGGGGCCCUACAGCUGAUGUAGGCCCUCAAAGGUAGUGGCGGACCCUCCCGGAGCCUCCUUUGCGUAGUAACUUUACGUCUCGCACUGGGAUCCGGAGGGACUCUUGCCGUAAAACCCCCAAUUUUCCAAAGGUUGACCUCGGAUCAGGUAGGAAUACCCGCUGAACUUAAGCAUAUCAAUAAGCGGAGGAAAAGAAACCAACAGGGAUUGCCUCAGUAACGGCGAGUGAAGCGGCAACAGCUCAAAUUUGAAAUCUGGCCCUAGGCCCGAGUUGUAAUUUGCAGAGGAUGCUUUUGGUGCGGUGCCUUCCAAGUUCCCUAGAACGGGACGCCAGAGAGGGUGAGAGCCCCGUACAGUUGGACACCAAGCCUUUGUAAAGCUCCUUCGACGAGUCGAGUAGUUUGGGAAUGCUGCUCAAAAUGGGAGGUAUAUUUCUUCUAAAGCUAAAUACCGGCCAGAGACCGAUAGCGCACAAGUAGAGUGAUCGAAAGAUGAAAAGCACUUUGAAAAGAGGGUUAAACAGCACGUGAAAUUGUUAAAAGGGAAGCGCUUGUGACCAGACUUGCGUCCGGUGAAUCACCCAGCUCUCGCGGCUGGGGCACUUCGCCGGCUCAGGCCAGCAUCAGCUCGCUGUCGGGGACAAAAGCUUCAGGAACGUAGCUCUCUUCGGGGAGUGUUAUAGCCUGUUGCAUAAUACCCUUCGGCGGGCUGAGGUACGC